GCGUCUGUAGUCCAACGGUUAGGA
Molecule: non-coding RNA, 24 nt
Filed under: Arabidopsis thaliana (thale cress)
Lineage: Eukaryota; Viridiplantae; Streptophyta; Magnoliopsida; Brassicales; Brassicaceae
Also listed under: 2 other names
Source: RNAcentral